Gossypium raimondii (Peruvian cotton) is the source of this 2535-nucleotide long non-coding RNA. RefSeq lists it as uncharacterized. NCBI's taxonomy places the organism in Eukaryota, Viridiplantae, Streptophyta, Magnoliopsida, Malvales, Malvaceae. The record is from RefSeq and is a predicted model, not a curated record. The transcript has 3 exons.
AUCGUUUUAAUCUCCUCCAUUCGGUGAAUUAGAAAAAAUAAAUAAAUAGAAGUAUAAAGUAAAUAGAAAAAAAGGUGAGAAGCUUUUCCGUUCUUCUAUGUUUUCGGCGUUCAAGCAAAAAACUAAGUAAAGAGAAACAGGAUUUUCUUGGCCUUCAUCCUCAAACAGUGUAUCACCAUAGCCAAUUAGAGGGGAAAUUUGAUAAAAUUGAUAGUGAAAAAUCUAACCAAGGUGAGAGGCCAUUUUAUUAGCUAUAAUUCAGUGGUGAGAAAAGUUUGAGUAGCCUUGGUUUACUAGAAAGAGAGCUUGAAGGAGAUGAUGGAACCUUGUUUGAUCUCUUAAGUUUCGGUGAAAGUAAAAGGGGAUCAAGGAGCAAUGGCAUAUGUUCCUACGUAUCUGACGGACAACUUAAGGGAUCUUAGGCAGCAGAAACAAUGUGAACAUUGUUGGCCUUUCAACUCUAGGAAUUCUUUUGCCAAGUACCUUUGAGGAUUACGACUGGAGUCUUGGCAUUUUAUUACAAAGUAUGAUAGGCUUCCGAAUCGUGAAUGGCAAGUCCCACUCAGGUCCCUUCACAUGGUGCCCAUGUUCCGUCCAAACCUAAAGGAGCCUAUCUCUUACCUCGAUGGCAAUUUCUCUUCAUUCGACUAUGAGCUAGUCGAUAUUGGGUUUUCUGCAAGUAGUUAGAUUCGCUAGAUCGUUCCAGCAGCAUCCGAAGAAUCGAAGUUCAGCUCAAACAAUGUUGGUGAAAAUUUUACUUUAUAGUUGAUGUAAAUGGCAUGUACCUAGGCUUGUAUAUAUAUAAUACUAUGUCGUAAACUGAAUUUAAAUAUUUUCGUUAUGUUUUCUUUGCUAGUACUGCAUAACUAAUGUUUUGAUAAAAUAGUAAAGCGGGGAAAUCUAGUUUAUUGAAAUGUUUUGAGAAAUCGCAGUGCUAAGAAUUUAUUUGGGAGGUUAUUUAAAUGUGGAUAUUUUGUGAAAUCUAAAUUUUGUAGGGAGUUUUAUGUAAAAUAGGAAAAAAUGAUACUAAAAUUUUUAUAAAAUAAUUUUACCAAUACGUUUUCUUUUAAAAAAAUGGAAAAAUGAGUUGCUUCAACAACAAAAUGUGACAUUUUAUAUUCGAAUCUAACAACUAGGUCAGGUAUAAGGUGUCACAUUUGAGUGGUAUCAGAGCUAUCCAGAUUUGCUACCGGAUGAGUAAAAAAGUGUUGUAUUAUGUAUAUGAAGUCUAGUGUACAUGUCAUUAUUAAAUAUUCAGCUUGAGAUGAAAUCAAAUGCUGAAAUUGCUUUGUUUGAAAUUUUGUAUAGUAAAAUAAUCAAUAAAUCGGGAGAUAGUAUGGAACAAGAAUAGAAUACAAAAAUAGACCCAAUGCACUUGGUGAAGAUGAAUCUAGUGUUCAUCAGUCGCCAAGAAUUUCUAGACAAAGACAGUCGGCUCAAGGUGAUGAUCCAUUACUGCGUAUUAUUGCUGAUUUAUUACAAAGGGUUGUUGGUAUUACACCUCAACCUGCACCUCCCACUAGACAGAGAGGGUCUUUGAUUAAAAAAUUAAGAAAACAUAGGGCCACUGAGCUUAGAGGUGUGAAAAGUCUUGAUCCCUCUAUUGUUGAAGAAUGGUUAGAAUCAGUUGAAAGUAUAUUCGAACAAUUAUAAUGCACCUCAGCCAAGUGUUUGAAGUGUGUUGUGUCUCUACUGUAAGGAGAUGCCCUUUAUUGGUGGAGAACAGUGGUUUGUUCCCAUUGUGCAGAUCAGAUUAAUUGAGAGUUGUUUCAGAACGAGUUUAACAAGAAGUAUGCUGGAGAAUUGUAUUUAGAAGAAAGGAAGAAAGAGUUUAUUGGGCAUUUAUUUGUCUGUCCAGGUAUGAAUGAGAAUUUCUUCGCCGGUCCAAGUAUACUUCAGAAUUGGUUCUUACUGAUGAAGCUAGCUGCAAACAUUCUCAUAGGAUUACGAAAAUUGCUGAUAUGGUAGAAAGAGUGAAAAUGGUAGAGCAAACAAUGGGGUUAGAUAAAAAGAAAGUGGAUUAGUUCUAGCUCACAACCACCUUCCAAACAAGCUAGAGAUUUUAGAAGCCAAGCGAGAUCCACUACGCUUUAGAUUGGUGUUAAGGGUAGAAGUCGAUCUAGACAAUCAUCUGCUUUAAUAGUCAGAAUAGAUCAUUUUGGUCGUCCUGUUUGGAUACCACAGUGCGAUUAUUGUGGGAAGAGUCAUAAAGGAGAGUGUCAGCAUAAGACCGGAGUGUGUAUUAGAUGUGGUUCAAUGGAGCAUUAUUUUCGAAAUUGUUCAAAGUCGGUUGAUGUUACCCUUGUGUCAUUUUAGAGAUCAUCUUUUGCACUUCGAGGUCGUGGUAGUACUCGAGGUGGUGCUAGUGGAAAAGAUAGUCAGGGGAGAGUCACUAGUUCAUCUGCAAGUCGUGCAGAGGCUACUAUUCCUGCUAAAGUUUAUACUGUCAGGACUAGAGAGGAAGGAGAUGCCAUUGAUGUUGUUUUUGAUAUUCUUUUCUCUAUUUUUGUAUCUAUUCAUGUAUUGAUAGAUCCA